Molecule: long non-coding RNA, 838 nt
Organism: Archocentrus centrarchus (flier cichlid)
Lineage: Eukaryota; Metazoa; Chordata; Actinopteri; Cichliformes; Cichlidae
Exons: 3
Source: RefSeq, a predicted model, not a curated record
AAGCGAUAUGUAAUAGGUUGUGCGCUUUUGUAACCGUUCGCGUGUGAAUAUUAGAGGACAAGGGAGACUGUGUGUACUCGUGUGUCUGUUACGGACAAAGUGACACAAAAACGAUGGUGUGACUGCUAAUAAAAGCUAGCAUCUAUGUGGUUAGAAGGAUCCGGGCUUCCAUCGCUGAAGGAGAGCGACUGGAGAAGCCCAUCCUCACACCAUGUAGUGCUAUUGCUGAAAGGAGAGCGGGGCAGGAGUCGAAAGGAAAAUCCCCAACUGCUGCACUGAGCCCGGGAUCUGGCGAAGGCUUCUUAGAAGCAGAAGGUCCGGGAACGUCUUCAGAGACAGUCGUGCAGAAAUGUGGCUCCUGACGUUAAAGAUUACGCUGGACACUGGGAAUGUGGACAAGUCAAUGGAAAAAAAAUUAUUUAUGACAUAUAUAUAUAUAUUUUUUUUUCUAGCACUCAACAGCCUACAUGGCUAUGGCCUAUCUUAUUUAAAAAAUAUCUAAUUCUACAGAAAAAAAUUAAAACAUUAUUCCAGUACUUUCCAUGUCCAUGUUGUAUCAAGUGGCCAAAUCAUUUUUACAGACAUUUUUACUCAUCACCCCAUUAAAAAAAAAGGUAUCUAAAGAUAUGUAACACUAUCUGUAACCUUAUUCUUUUAAUUUUGGUUAUCUAGGGCAAAUGUUUAUUUUAUUGAGUGUGAGUGGUAAGUCAACAUGUUCUCUGUGAGGAAAAUCUGAAGUUUAUAUGCUGCAGUGUUUGAAGGCCGGCUCACCAACCUCUCUCCAGGGGCUGAGCCGGCCUGAUGUUUCUGCUGUUACACCAAUAAAUUCUAAAAAUGC